Danio rerio (zebrafish) is the source of this 74-nucleotide non-coding RNA. The record is from Rfam. Lineage: Eukaryota; Metazoa; Chordata; Actinopteri; Cypriniformes; Danionidae.
GUCUCUGUGGCGCAAUCGGUUAGAGCGUUUGGCUGUGAACUGAAAGGUUGGUGGUUCAAGCCCACCCAGGGAUG